RNAcentral lists this long non-coding RNA (609 nucleotides) under Marmota monax (woodchuck). Lineage: Eukaryota; Metazoa; Chordata; Mammalia; Rodentia; Sciuridae. The record is from RNAcentral.
UUCUGUGUAGGACCCACAUUGCUCACUGGUGGCACCUCAGGGUGAAGAGAUGGACACUUGCAAGAAUGUUUUCUCUCUCCUCGGGGAACGUGGAUGUCUUGUCACUGGUUGCCUGUCCCUGCCAGCAGAGACUGUCCUUCUUCCCCCUGACCUGGGAGGAGUGAUGUGCAGCCAAGUUUACCCCCUUGUAAUCAUCUCUUGUCAUUUCGCUCUUCACUCUGAUACCCACGUGGUCUCCCCAUGUUCCUGCUCCCUAACCCACACCGUGCCUCCCAAAAUGGGGGUUCAGGAAACGACUUUGAAAGUUUGGUACACACAGCAAGCAAACAAUGUAACUCUCCCUGUGCCUCUGCCAAGUUCAUUUGUGCCAUUUUGUUGCAUUGGAUUUAAUAACAGAAACUCCCUGGAAAGGUGAAGGUUGCUGGACCCGGGUGCUCUCGGAACCAAGCAUGUGAGCUGGCUCCCAGGUCAGGAAGAGAGCUGUAGAGACCAAGAGCCAUUUCCAAGCCCGUGGGAAUCUCCUGAUAGGUCCACUUCCGCCCCUGGUAAAGGGCAGUGCCUUGAGGGGUGACCCUGGCUCCUCUGGAAGUGGUCUUUAUACAGUUUGUC